Molecule: ribosomal RNA, 292 nt
Filed under: uncultured Acidobacteriota bacterium
Lineage: Bacteria; Pseudomonadati; Acidobacteriota
Description: uncultured Acidobacteria bacterium partial 16S ribosomal RNA
Source: RNAcentral
GGACUACACGGGUAUCUAAUCCCGUUUGCUCCCCUAGCUUUCGCGGAUCAGCGUCAGUAAUGGUCCAGAAUGCCGCCUUCGCCACCGGUGUUCCUCCAGAUAUCUACGCAUUUCACCGCUACACCUGGAAUUCCACAUUCCUCUCCCAUACUCAAGCCUUCCAGUAUCAGACGCAGUUCCCAGGUUAAGCCGGGGGAUUUCACGUCUGACUUAAAAAGCCGCCUACUCGCCCUUUACGCCCAGUAAUUCCGAACAACGCUUGCCACCUCUGUAUUACCGCGGCUGCUGGCAC